RNAcentral lists this ribosomal RNA (367 nucleotides) under uncultured organism. RNAcentral describes it as "bacterial SSU rRNA". It matches the Rfam family "Bacterial small subunit ribosomal RNA", at positions 526 to 896 of the family's 1533-position model. The record is from RNAcentral.
CGUAGGUGGCAAGCGUUGUCCGGAUUUAUUGGGUUUAAAGGGUGCGUAGGCGGUUCCUUAAGUCAGUUGUGAAAUACGGCAGCUUAACUGUCGAGGUGCAAUUGAUACUGGGGAACUUGAGUACUGAUGAGGUAUGCGGAAUGGACGGUGUAGCGGUGAAAUGCUUAGAUAUCGUCCAGAACACCGAUAGCGAAGGCAGCAUACUAAGGAGUAACUGACGCUGAGGCACGAAAGUGUGGGGAUCAAACAGGAUUAGAUACCCUGGUAGUCCACACUGUAAACGAUGAUCACUCGAUGUUGGCGAUACACAGCCAGCGUCUUAGCAAAAGCGAUAAGUGAUCCACCUGGGGAUACGCCGGCAACGGUG